UGGGGAAUAUUGGACAAUGGGCGAAAGCCUGAUCCAGCCAUGCCGCGUGUGUGAAGAAGGUCUUCGGAUUGUAAAGCACUUUAAGUCGGGAGGAAGGGCAGUUACCUAAUACGUGAUUGUUUUGACGUUACCGACAGAAUAAGCACCGGCUAACUCUGUGCCAGCAGCCGCGGUAAUACAGAGGGUGCAAGCGUUAAUCGGAAUUACUGGGCGUAAAGCGCGCGUAGGUGGUUAGUUAAGUUGGAUGUGAAAUCCCCGGGCUCAACCUGGGAACUGCAUUCAAAACUGACUGACUAGAGUAUGGUAGAGGGUGGUGGAAUUUCCUGUGUAGCGGUGAAAUGCGUAGAUAUAGGAAGGAACACCAGUGGCGAAGGCGACCACCUGGACUGAUACUGACACUGAGGUGCGAAAGCGUGGGGAGCAAACAGGAUUAGAUACCCAAGUAGUCCCUGAGCGGGCUGGCAAGGCGCAU
Molecule: ribosomal RNA, 472 nt
Filed under: uncultured bacterium
Lineage: Bacteria
Description: bacterial SSU rRNA
Rfam family: Bacterial small subunit ribosomal RNA
Source: RNAcentral